CGCAUGGCAUGUGAUGUAUUUUGUUUACACUGCUAAGUGAGUGAAACAAUAAAGUACACAUUUAGGAAGAAAAUAACAACAAAAGUGCUGGCGUAAACCGUAAUCAGUUUAGAGUAACUGAAAAAGUGCUUCAUCUUGGUAUAGUAGGUUAAGAAGGAGAGGCCGAGCAAUUGGAUGACAGAGAGAAUCGUGAAAUCCCCCCUCGAAGUUUUGGCGGCGAUUGUUCAAACAUGAAAGUGAAAUAAGAAACCGAAGACAAGACGUGGGCGGCAUUCCACAGGAAAACCUGCAAAAUAAGAUAAUAAUACUGGAGGGUCACAGGUCCUUCCAACAGGAACACGUUUCCGGUCAAAACUUCAGACUCGUUGUCGUAGAUGAAAACUACGUAAAGCAUAGCUCCAUUGAUAACAACGUUAUUUACCUCUGAGGAGGUUUUGUUGCCUUCUUUUAUUUCCAGAGUAUAAGUUCCCGCGUUGAUCUCGUGCUGUAUUCCUCUUUCAAUACGGAAGGCGGUGUUUUUCAGUGUCUUCGUUUCGAUAAAGUUCAAGCUAGGACUUUCCUUGAGAGACGUUAACCCGUGAAUUACGAAGAAAGAAGAAACACUAUUAUUUAUUUCCCCAGCCGGAAAUAGUGUUGGAUCGUAAUCCCCGUUCUGAAAUAAACCGUUUUUCGUAAUAAUGACAGAUAUGGAUUUUCUUGCUUUCACGGAUACCGGAUAUGUCCUGGACGAUUCAGUGGUGUUCCUUUUUUCUGUUAUUGUUACCCAAAGUUUUGCAGACUUCCCAACAGGAACUCCAGUCUCAAGGGCAUAUUCGAAAGGUUCUACUUCGGUAUCAUUUAUAAAGCCGGCGAUAUUGAUGGUGCAGGAAUAGGGCAACGUGUUGAAUAUCCUUAAAUUGGACGUGUACUCUUCCGGCAUAAAAUGCAGUUCAUCUUCCAACUGUAUCUGUACGACCAGUGAACACAUAACUACGAGGGUUAACGCGAGGUACCCAGUAAGAUAUAUGUGAAGAUUGGAAAAGUUACGUUUUCGCAAGAUAGGAUAGACUAUAAAUUCAUUCAAUGGAAAAAGAAUGAUAUCAAAAAUCGCGGAAUACCAUUGAAGGUCCAUAUCCGCCCACCAAUGCGUUCGAUUUCUAGAAGAGAAUUCCGCCUGGUUGACGGUAUUUGACGACGGCCGGAGACGUUUCAUCAAGGUAUUGAAUCUCACCCUUAUCCUCUUCGUUUUUGUCGGGCAUGUUGGCUGUGCUAUUGGAAAAUGGACAUAAGAAAUCUAUUAUUUUCCUCCAAAUGCCCGGCGAAUUAGACUCCGAUGGCGUUUCCGUGUCUGGAACCAGCUUAUUCGAUGAGGAAAACGGAGUGAAGAUAUGAAGACGAAAUACGCGCUCACCGACAAGAUAGCGAGGAUGCUCAUAUGUAACGGAUUCCCAAGGCCCGUUUCGAAUAGAAGCUCGCACACGAAUCUCAUCAAAAUCCUAAAAACAUAUUCCUGACCGCCGACACGGCGUAAGACAGGACCAUCAUCGAUCUUGACAAAUGCAGAAAGGAAACAUGAGACCUCUCGU
RNAcentral lists this long non-coding RNA (1565 nucleotides) under Cimex lectularius (bed bug). RNAcentral's name for it is "uncharacterized LOC112128353". Lineage: Eukaryota; Metazoa; Arthropoda; Insecta; Hemiptera; Cimicidae. The record is from RNAcentral.